RNAcentral lists this ribosomal RNA (424 nucleotides) under uncultured prokaryote. RNAcentral describes it as "bacterial SSU rRNA". It matches the Rfam family "Bacterial small subunit ribosomal RNA", at positions 355 to 796 of the family's 1533-position model. The record is from RNAcentral.
UGGGGAAUCUUAGACAAUGGGGGAAACCCUGAUCUAGCCAUGCCGCGUGAGUGACGAAGGCCUUAGGGUCGUAAAGCUCUUUCGCUAGGGAUGAUAAUGACAGUACCUAGUAAAGAAGCCCCGGCUAACUUCGUGCCAGCAGCCGCGGUAAUACGAAGGGGGCUAGCGUUGUUCGGAAUUACUGGGCGUAAAGCGCGCGUAGGCGGACUUUUAAGUCAGAUGUGAAAUCCCGAGGCUCAACCUCGGAACUGCAUUUGAAACUGGAAGUCUAGAGUCCGGGAGAGGUUAGCGGAAUACCGAGUGUAGAGGUGAAAUUCGUAGAUAUUCGGUGGAACACCAGUGGCGAAGGCGGCUAACUGGACCGGUACUGACGCUGAGGUGCGAAAGCGUGGGGAGCAAACAGGAUUAGAUACCCGGGUAGUCC